GCGUCGCCCAUGCUCUCCGCCACCACCGCGCCGCUCCAGGGCGCCGGCCUGUCCGAGUUCUCCGGGCUCAGGAGCUCCGCCUCGCUGCCGCUGCGGCGGAAUGCCACCUCCGACGACUUCGUGAACGCCGUCUCCUUCAGGACCCACGCGGUACGUGCUCUGCUCCCACCUGCAUCAUAUAUGUGUCGGGACGCGUUAGCUUCAUUCGUUUCACGGCUUGGGGGAUGAACAUGCUUGCUUUGCCUGCGUGUGCAGGUCGGCACGAGUGGCGGGCCUAGGCGGGCGCCGACGGAGGCCAAGCUGAAGGUGGCGAUCAACGGGUUCGGCCGCAUCGGGCGCAACUUCCUCCGCUGCUGGCACGGGCGCGACGACUCGCCGCUCGAGGUCAUCGCCAUCAACGACACGGGAGGCGUCAAGCAGGCGUCUCACCUGCUCAAGUACGACUCCACGCUCGGCAUCUUCGACGCCGACGUUAAGCCCGUGGGGGACAACGCCAUCUCCGUCGACGGCAAGGUCAUCAAGGUCGUGUCCGACCGCAACCCCAGCAACCUGCCGUGGGGGGAGAUGGGCGUAGACCUCGUCAUCGAGGGCACGGGGGUGUUCGUCGACCGCGAGGGCGCCGGGAAGCACAUCCAGGCGGGAGCCAAGAAGGUGCUCAUCACGGCGCCAGGGAAGGGCGACAUCCCCACCUACGUCUGCGGCGUCAAUGCUGACCAGUACAACCCCGACGAGCCCAUCAUCAGCAACGCCUCCUGCACCACCAACUGUCUCGCGCCCUUCGUCAAGGUCCUCGACCAGAAGUUCGGUGCGUGCUCCAUUAUAUAUGCUCUCUUCUGCAAUAUUGUAAUGAGUCCAUGUCCCGAUCAGGCUUGGCAUGACGAUGCUUACUAAGACCUAGCAAUUAAUAUGAUGCAUCGCAUCGCAGGCAUCAUCAAGGGCACCAUGACCACCACCCACUCCUACACCGGUGACCAGAGGCUGCUGGACGCCAGCCACCGCGACCUGCGCCGCGCCCGCGCCGCCGCGCUCAACAUCGUGCCCACCUCCACCGGCGCCGCCAAGGCCGUGGCGCUGGUGCUCCCCAACCUCAAGGGCAAGCUCAACGGGAUCGCGCUCCGGGUGCCCACCCCGAACGUCUCCGUCGUCGACCUCGUCGUGCAGGUCUCCAAGAAGACCCUCGCCGAGGAGGUGAACCAGGCGUUCCGCGACAGCGCCGCCAACGAGCUCGCCGGCAUCCUCGAGGUCUGCGACGCCCCGCUCGUGUCCGUCGACUUCAGGUGCUCCGACGUGUCCUCCACCGUCGACGCCUCGCUCACCAUGGUCAUGGGCGACGACAUGGUCAAGGUCAUCGCGUGGUACGACAACGAGUGGGGCUACUCGCAGAGGGUCGUCGACCUAGCUGACAUUGUCGCCAACAAUUGGAAGUGAAGCCUCGCAUUGUAAUAACCCAUCCUCGGCUUCAAAAUUUUCCCCAGGGUCUUCCCUGAUGAUAAUUUGUAAUGAGAAAUCGAGGACCCAAACUCCCAACAAUUCCUUUUAUUUU
Molecule: long non-coding RNA, 1543 nt
Filed under: Setaria italica (foxtail millet)
Lineage: Eukaryota; Viridiplantae; Streptophyta; Magnoliopsida; Poales; Poaceae
Description: long non-coding RNA (SITA_LNC005281)
Source: RNAcentral